Molecule: microRNA precursor, 115 nt
Filed under: Caenorhabditis briggsae
Lineage: Eukaryota; Metazoa; Nematoda; Chromadorea; Rhabditida; Rhabditidae
Description: microRNA cbr-mir-238 precursor
Gene: cbr-mir-238
Rfam family: mir-238 microRNA precursor family (bases 22-102)
Source: miRBase by way of RNAcentral
UUCUUCUUAUCCUCAUGAAUAUGACUGUUUGGGUGUCCUUGGAUGUAAAAAGCUAUAAAUCUGUUAAGAUUGCUUUGUACUCCGAUGCCAUCCACAUGGUCUGACGACAAGAAGA